This 1320-nucleotide long non-coding RNA is filed under the name Sus scrofa (pig). RNAcentral describes it as "lncRNA (ENSSSCG00070008395.1)". Lineage: Eukaryota; Metazoa; Chordata; Mammalia; Artiodactyla; Suidae. The record is from RNAcentral.
CAACUCAAACGAGGGGACAGUGUUGUGCUACCACGUGUCUAAUUCAAUUCCUGUCUGGUCGGGUGGCCCCAAGAUGAGGGAGAGAGACAGGCUGUCUGUGGUCUGAGUGUCCUUUGCUUGUUGGCAGGCAGACCUCUGGACCCAGAAACACCUGGCUUGAAUACUGGAGGUAUAGAUUUCUAGAAUCAGCAUGGCGGGGGGGUUGUCUCCUGGGAAGCUGGGCUUCAGGUCAUGAAUGGGGUGUGUCCGUGCGGUUGUAUUUGGGGGCGGGGGUGGACUAUGCUCAUGGCGGGCUCUGUCCAUCAGAAGGAGCCAGAGUAACUGGAGAGCCCCUCCCCACCAACACCUCUCCCCCCUUGUAGCACUGUGGCUGCGUCGCCAGGCUCAGACACGGGGUGCAAAAUGAUUGGUGGCCCAAUGUGCCUCAACUCAGAGAUGAUCCAGAUUCCACCAUCACGUCUUGGGUUCAUUCUCUGCAUGAGCGGGUAGCCCAAUGGCUAGAGAGUUUGAUAGGCGGCCUGGGGCCUGCGUGCCCUUUGCUUGUUUGAAGUACAACACUGGACCCAGAAAUCCCUGGCUUCGAUAUUGGGUAUGCAGUGGUUUAGCAUCAGGCUGGUGUGAUAAUUUGGCUUUAGGAGAUCUGGGCUUUGGGUCAUGAAUAUAACACAUCAGGCCACGGGUAUUGUGGGAGUGGGUCUCAGCCUCUCCCUGUGCCUUUCUCUCUAGAUAUCGCCACCUCCUCCUUCCUCCUGCUCCACCUGAGCCUCUGCUUCCUCUGCGGAGAACCUUGUGCCCAGGAAUCCACCUAAAUCCAGAUAUCGCCACCUCCUCCUUCCUCCUGCUCCACCUGAGCCUCUGCUUCCUCUGCGGAGAACCUUGUGCCCAGGAAUCCACCUAAAUCCAGAUAUCGCCACCUCCUCCUUCCUCCUGCUCCACCUGAGCCUCUGCUUCCUCUGCGGAGAACCUUGUGCCCAGGAAUCCACCUAAAUCCAGGUAAAGUGAAUGAUGCCAGGGAGGUCGUGGAUCUCAAGCGAGGUGCCAGGGCUGAGGGUGCUGAUUGCUGGCAACUGGCCUCUGUUACCUUACCAAGCGGGGUGUCUGAUUCAGGGAGCGGGGUGGUCUCAUGUGGGGUGAGUGUCCUGGCCGACUUUGAGAUAGUCCUAAUGCCACCCAUCUGGCAUUUCAGUGUGCUGCAAGGGAGAGGAGUAAGGAAAUUGGGCUGGCAAGUGGCCCAGGCCAGUGCAGACCAGGCUUCUGCUAUGAGAGGCGGAGGAAGGGCUGAGAGUUGCUAUUAGAGCACAUGCCCACCAGCGGGCACCA